This is a non-coding RNA of Phalacrocorax carbo (great cormorant), 3291 nucleotides long. The record is from RefSeq and is a predicted model, not a curated record. NCBI's taxonomy places the organism in Eukaryota, Metazoa, Chordata, Aves, Suliformes, Phalacrocoracidae.
CCCUCACGGCGGGCAGCGGCGGUUCGCCGGGAGCACUAAGCUCAGUCAGAUUUCACACCUUCCGGCAGGUUUCAGGCAGAAUUAUUCCCCCCGCCUCCAGAAGAUAACAGCGGGGUGGGGGGGCGGUUGAGGGACCGACCCGGCCCGCCCUACCGAUGCUGCAGUACAGGCAGCCGCCGCCGUGGAAGAAGAUGGCGCCCGGGGCCGGUAGACCCUCACCGGCACCCGGCCGGACCGCGCGUCCCUCAGCGAGAGCUGCGGGGCCGGCCCCGGCUUCGUCCCGGAGUGGACGUAGCGAGUGAAGGCGACCUGGCUGCACACCCCCGUCUCCUCCAAAAUCUUCCCCUGAUCGAGGAAAGGGAGGAGAGCCCGGCUGAGCGGAGGGCGGCCUCCCCGGGGGAGGCUGCCACACACCGCGCCGGGCAGGUUGCCGUGAGGGAGACCCUGCGCCUGCCUUCCCCCGGCCGCUGCGAGGGCUGAGGGGGCGCGUAGGCGACGUGUUGGCGGGGUGAGCCUGCUCCAGCGCCGCUCGCCUCUACCCUCUCCUUUGGCGGCCGCUCCGGUUUGGUCCUCACCAGAAAGCCGGCACAGGAGAAGAUGGAGCUGUGGCGGUCCCCUGUGAGGCUGCGCGCCUGGGCGAGCGGGGUCGCUUUGGCACCGUGCGCCUGAGCAGGUACAAAGGCCUGCCGGGCACACCCCAGAACUCACGUGAAGGCAUUUUGAGCUAACCCUGCUACCUGAAUCAUUACUAGAACAAACUGGGUACAAGACGCUUGCAAACUAUUAACACAGUGAUGUGGUACAGUGCUUUUGCUUCGCCUCUCACUGGCCAGGAGAAAGGAUACAAAAAGGAGCUUCUGACAACACAGAGGCAUCUUCAGAUUCAGGGAAGACACUGUCAUGAAGGAGAAUGGGGAAUUUGGCAAGAUGCAGUAACUUCAGUUUUACCGUAAGUCUGCUUUUGUUUCUUGCUUUUGUACAUUUGUACAAGGUCGUAACUAUGUUUUUCACUGGUUCAAGGUAAAUCUAAAGUAGAGUAGUAAAGAAAAAUAGUUCAUACUUUCAUAAAAUUUGAAGAGUAAAUUAGGAAAAUUUUAAAUAUCUAGAACUGUCCCCUUACUCCCACUCCGAAUUUGGUAGCAACUUUGCACAUAAAUCAAUGAACGGAAAUUAUAAUGAAUGAGAAGAAACCACUUUCAAUACAUUUUAGAAUAUUAUUCAAGCUGGAAACAGAUACAUGAAAUCAAUAUUCACAAGAUUAUUCCAUUCCCACUGGCUUCAAAAGACCUGCAAAUGUUUUAAAUUAAUAAUUCAUUUUGGUUUCAAUCUGAACCGGUUAGCUGUGUAAUAUUGCUGACUUUUCUGUUUUAAAUGUGUCCGGGGUGAUUUAUGUAUAAAGAGACUGAACUCAGAAAUCAAAAAAUCAAAUUUACUUUGAUGAACUUCAUAUCCGUGCAUUUUUAACAGUGCUCCUUAUUUCCGUACCAGAAGGUUGUUAUAUUUGUUACCAGUCCAGACACUGAGUCAUUCUUGUUUAAACCAGACACUAGGCUCUCUGUGUAAUUUCUCUCUCCCCUUCAGAGUUUUUGGACUGAGAGGAAAAUUGUAAUGCCAGGUGCCUCCCCGAGCUCCAUUUCUAAAGGUAUUACUGUAAAAACACAGAGGUGCUAAAUGCUGCCAAGCGGCCAUGGAAAUUCUCUGAGCUCUGGUUAUUUCAGAUGCAGGCAAGUUAGGGAACACCACCUGGUUCUGACAGUAUGUACAGACUUAACGGUUCUGGUUAGAGUGCUUCACCUCCUUCUCUCCAAAACCCUCCGUGGCACUUCAUGGUGAUGCAGUGAUAGUCAUAUGGCUGAUUCCAUAUGAGGUAACCUGGCAUUUAAAGGUAAGAACUCUGCAAGUUUCUCUUUACAUUUUAUUUUCUUUUUUUCUGAACUUUUGUGGAACUUUUAAGAGGUUGAAAUUCAGGGACUUAGAUAUCGUUCACAUUUGGUGUGAAAAAAAUGUGUGUGAUAUAGGUUUUAAGUGUGGGUGGGACCAGAAACUCGGUGGCUCUUCCUUUUGCAAACAAAUAACCCUGCACACUCUGUUACCAGAUGGCCACUUCGAACAAUGCCUGUUUUCAAAAAAUUCUGUUUGAUUCCAAAGCAUGAAAUUUAUUUUCAAAGGGAUUCAGAAUACUAACUCACUGCUGUUGGUUGUGCAGUAUAACUCGGCUACCUCUGUGUAGAUGCUCAGGCUCAUACGCUUCCACUGUAGUGGUGCUUUAGUAAGUACAGUUGUAACGAAGUUUGAGAGUCUUUGAAAGUUGUCAUUUUUCAGUAAUUCUAGUGUUAACCACUAGAUGGCUUCCCAGGAUAGCGGAUCUAGACCCAGGCCUCCUGAAUGAACACGCGGGAUUGGACUCAUUUUGGCACGUUCUUCAUGACAUAUACAGUCGUAAACGCGACGUUCUUUCCAGCUCAGCUGUGAAGACAGCACUGUGAGGUCUGACAUCCUCGAGCAUCUUCUGACAUCCUCAAAGGCUGCCCAUUAGGUUAUUUCUGAUGGCUGCCCCGACUACUGACGGUGCAUGAACAGCUCUCAGUUCCCAUAGGCACUUAGAACCUCCUCAGAAAUGCUUAAUCAGAACAGCUGAAAACCUAACUUACCUGCCUAAUGCUUAACAGCGCAGACAACCGAGUUGGGGGACCUAGUCGCAACAUACUUUGCCCUUUCUCCUGUUACAACAUAGUUUAAAGUGCUGUGGAGACCUUGUGUUGCAACUGUGCCCUCAUAACUGGGCAAAAAAGUCUUGGAAAAGGGGAGAAAAAAACAAGCCACCCUUUGUUAUGAGAAAGUGAGUCUCCCUCCUUCAUUCAGAGCCUGCUUCUUUAUUGCCCCGCUACUAAAUCACCGGUUUUCAAAUGCAAGCAUCUUACAGCUUGGAAAAUCCACAAGCUGUCACAUUGUCCAUGAAAACAUUAGUCCAAUAGUAAAAGAUUCCGAUGAUUGCCAGCCUAGGCUGGAUUCAGCCUGGCAAGCUAGGGCUGAAAGAAGUUUUCCCGUCCACACCAGCUUAUCUUGGGCAAGCAGUUCUCUGCCAGAGCUCUGCAAGGCAGAGAUGGCUCCCUUGAACUCAGCCUUAACCCUGUCUGUUCCUGGAACUGCUUUCUCCUGGGCUGAAGUCAGAUCACACCAGCUCCCUCCGGGUGCGGGUACGUCCGGGAGGAGGCAGGGGCUGCCUGGCUGGCUUACAGCGCCCGUCAGUUCCAGCUGCCAGCGCAGCGCGGCCCGCAGCGAGCCCGCAGC